RNAcentral lists this ribosomal RNA (325 nucleotides) under uncultured eukaryote. RNAcentral's name for it is "partial 18S ribosomal RNA". It matches the Rfam family "Eukaryotic small subunit ribosomal RNA", at positions 1470 to 1796 of the family's 1831-position model. The record is from RNAcentral.
CCCUUAGAUGUUCUGGGCCGCACGCGCGCUACACUGAUGCAUUCAACGAGCCUAUCCUUGACCGACAGGUCCGGGUAAUCUUUGAAUCUGCAUCGUGACGGGGAUAGAUUAUUGCAAUUAUUAAUCUUCAACGAGGAAUGCCUAGUAGGCGCAAGUCAUCAGCUUGCGUCGAUUACGUCCCUGCCCUUUGUACACACCGCCCGUCGCUCCUACCGAUUGGGUGGUCCGGUGAGGCUUUGGGAUCUGAGCGGAAAGAGCGUUUCGCUGUUUCUGCCCGGAAAACUCAGUCGAACCUUAUCAUUUAGAGGAAGGAGAAGUCGUAACA